AGAGUUUGAUCCUGGCUCAGGAUGAACGUUGGCGGGGUGCCUAAUACAUGCAAGUCGAACGGAGACUGUAGCAAUACUGUCUUAGUGGCGAACGGGUGAGUAACGCGUUGGUGAUCUGCCUCGAAGUGUGGAAUAACUUCCCGAAAGGGUAGCUAAUACCGCAUAGUCUCUCAGGGUUUAGAAAACUGAGAGUAAAGGAUUUAUUCGCUUCGAGAGGAGCCUGCGUCCCAUCAGCUAGUUGGUAGGGUAAUAGCCUACCAAGGCAAUGACGGGUAGGGGACCUGAGAGGGUGGCCCCCCACAAUGGAACUGAAACACGGUCCAUACACCUACGGGUGGCAGCAGUAGGGAAUAUUAGAAAUGGGCGAAAGCCUGAUCUAGCAACGCCGCGUGUGCGAUGAAGGCCUUCGGGUUGUAAAGCACUUUUUGGAGGGAAUAGGAAGGAAGGUACCUCCAGAAUAAGUCUCGGCUAACUACGUGCCAGCAGCCGCGGUAACACGUAGGAGGCAAACGUUAUCCGGAUUCACUGGGCGUAAAGCGCGUGUAGGUGGUUCUGUAAGUAGGGCGUGAAAGCUCCCGGCUCAACUGGGAGAGGCCGUACUAAACUGCAGAGCUAGAGGAUGGUAGAGGGAGGUGGAAUUCCAGGUGUAGUGGUGAAAUGCGCAGAUAUCUGGAGGAACACCAGUGGCGAAGGCGGCCUCCUGGACCAUUCCUGACACUCAGACGCGAAAGCCAGGGUAGCAAACGGAAUUAGAGACUCCGGUAGUCCUAGCCCUAAACGAUGCAGACUAGGCGUCGGCGGUUUAAUCACCGUCGGUGUCCAAGCUAACGCGAUAAGUCUGCCGCCUGAGGACUACGGCCGCAAGGCUGAAACUCAAAGGAAUUGACGGGGGCCCGCACAAGCGGUGGAGCAUGUGGUUUAAUUCGAUGCAACGCGAAGAACCUUACCAGGUCUUGACAUCCAAAGAACCUUUAGGAAACUAGAGGGUGCCUUCGGGAGCUUUGAGACAGGUGGUGCAUGGUUGUCGUCAGCUCGUGUCGUGAGAUGUUGGGUUAAGUCCCGCAACGAGCGCAACCCCUGCUAUUAGUUGCUAACAUUUCGGAUGAGCACUCUAAUGGGACCGCCCGUUACAAGCGGGAGGAAGGUGGGGACGACGUCAAAUCAUCAUGCCCUUUAUGAUCUGGGCUACACACGUGCUACAAUGGAUGGUACAGAGAGCAGCGAAGCUGUGAAGUGAAGCGAAUCUCACAAAGCCAUUCUCAGUUCGGAUUGUAGUCUGCAACUCGACUACAUGAAGUCGGAAUCGCUAGUAAUCGCGAAUCAGAAUGUCGCGGUGAAUGCGUUCCCGGGCCUUGUACACACCGCCCGUCACACCACGAAAGUCGGCAACACCCGAAGCCGGUGACUCAACUCGUAAGAGGGAGAGCCGUUGAAGGUGGGGUUGGUAAUUGGGGUGAAGUCGUAACAAGGUA
RNAcentral lists this ribosomal RNA (1472 nucleotides) under uncultured bacterium. RNAcentral describes it as "bacterial SSU rRNA". It matches the Rfam family "Bacterial small subunit ribosomal RNA". The record is from RNAcentral.